GAUGAACGCUGGCGGCGUGCCUAAUACAUGCAAGUCGAGCGAACAGACGAGGAGCUUGCUCCUCUGACGUUAGCGGCGGACGGGUGAGUAACACGUGGAUAACCUACCUAUAAGACUGGGAUAACUUCGGGAAACCGGAGCUAAUACCGGAUAACAUGUUGAACCGCAUGGUUCAACAGUGAAAGACGGUCUUGCUGUCGCUUAUAGAUGGAUCCGCGCCGCAUUAGCUAGUUGGUAAGGUAACGGCUUACCAAGGCAACGAUGCGUAGCCGACCUGAGAGGGUGAUCGGCCACACUGGGACUGAGACACGGUCCAGACUCCUACGGGAGGCAGCAGUAGGGAAUCUUCCGCAAUGGGCGAAAGCCUGACGGAGCAACGCCGCGUGGGUGAAGAAGGUCUUCGGAUCGUAAAACUCUGUUAUUAGGGAAGAACAAAUGUGUAAGUAACUAUGCACGUCUUGACGGUACCUAAUCAGAAAGCCACGGCUAACUACGUG
This 497-nucleotide ribosomal RNA is filed under the name uncultured bacterium. RNAcentral describes it as "partial 16S ribosomal RNA". It matches the Rfam family "Bacterial small subunit ribosomal RNA", at positions 28 to 507 of the family's 1533-position model. The record is from RNAcentral.